Labeo rohita (rohu) is the source of this 1129-nucleotide long non-coding RNA. RefSeq lists it as uncharacterized. The transcript is spliced from 3 exons. The record is from RefSeq and is a predicted model, not a curated record. Lineage: Eukaryota; Metazoa; Chordata; Actinopteri; Cypriniformes; Cyprinidae.
GUGAAAGCGAGCGGCCGCCCUCGCUCUCGUAGCCUGACGUCUCUUCCUCCUCCGUGCUGCUGCUGAAACCAGGCUCUGAUGCUGUGAGGGCACAUAAAGACAGAUAAAUAAAGAUUCAAACAUGAAGUCAGAAGCCAGGCAGGCUCUCAGAAGCGGUGCCAGAGGUGUUCGAGACGUCAUGACCGGGAGAGACCCAAGAGUUUGAGGGAAGUGUGGAUGCCGAGGCCUGGCUGCUUUGAGAAAGCCACUCGAUGGAAAAAUGCCCUUUCAUCUUACAGAAUGUGUCCAAAUCCAGCAAAGAAAGACCGAUAUCCAAUAUAAACAGUGCAGUUGUGCAGUUCUUCUGCUUUGAGGGAAUGUCCAUGAAAGUCACUAAUCCGGUUAAUCCCAUCAGUUUGAUUGCAACACAUCCAGUAAUCCCUCACUGACUCCAAUCAGAGUAAUCAACCUCAAAGAACGACCCGAGGAACCGGCCCGGACGGAAAAGCCGGUCUGCGAUCACGGCGGGAACUCAGACCGUCGAUAAGAGCCCCGGAGCCCCGUCUCCAGAGCCGAGGCCAGAGGUGUCCCGGGACGCUCCAGCGGCCCAUUCAGAGCACUUUUGUUUCACACCUGGAAGCGGGGAGGGGAAGUGUGAAGGAGGCAUUAAGCCCUAUUGAGCAUAACUGCCGAAACCCGCCCGCCCCGUCUCUUACGACGCUCAUCAUUGAGGAGCCGGGGCCAGAUCAGCAUGUUUGUGAAUGCUUUCAAAUCACGGACGCUUGACUGAAAGGAGCGUCCUCGCGGAGAAAGACGAGGGAGGAGGGAACGCUGCAUUUGGGCCUUUCCUUUUCCUGUUAAGAGUGUAAUGUAAAGGCUGACGGGAGGUGUGAACGUAGACCUGCCCUUUGAAGUUAAAAUGACAUUUAGAGGUCAAUUAUGUUGUUAGCAGAAGGUGUCCCCCGGUUUCAAACCGCCAUAAAAUACAACUCAAAGGUAGAUAAAAUGAGACGCGGCCGUUUAUGUCCUGUCAAACCUGAAAACGCGCCACUUAAAGAGGCUGCAAACCGGAGAUAAAACAAUAUAGGGUUUCUCACUGUUCACUAGUGUACUAUAGACUUCUGUGACAGAAUAUCAGAACAAACUAUCA